Molecule: ribosomal RNA, 1203 nt
Filed under: Triticum aestivum (bread wheat)
Lineage: Eukaryota; Viridiplantae; Streptophyta; Magnoliopsida; Poales; Poaceae
Description: partial small subunit ribosomal RNA
Source: RNAcentral
AUGCAGGAUAAAAACAUGUCGCUGAACCUCAUACCUGCCGCUGGAAUGAAGUUCACCACGUACGCCAAGGCAUGGGACUUUUACAACAAUUAUGCAAGAUGUGCAGGGUUUGGCAUACGCAAGAGGGCAAAACAUAGGACAAAUGCCUACAUUGUCUGCUCAAGAGAAGGGAUGCACAAGCAGACUGUAUCAGAUUAUCAACGGAAACGUCAGAAGACAUAAAAAAGGAUUGACUGCAAGGCAAAAAUUAGAGUAAAAAAGAGGAAGGAUGGCAAAUUUGUGAUAGAAAUGGUUGAACUCAACCAUAAUCACAAGAUGCUGGAAAGCCCCGGGAUGCUUUUGCACAUGCGAUCGCACAAAAGAGACAAUCCUUUGAUUGACCAGUUAGUGAAAGACAUGCAACUAGACAACCACACACACGCUCAGAUGAUGUCAACGAUGUGACAUAUGUCCGGUGGUCUGCAGUACAUGGGACAUACUAGCCGCGACUGGGUAAACAAGAAACAGAAGUUUGCCAGAGAAGAGUCCCAAGAUGACGUCAAGAAACUUCUGGAUUUCUUCGAGAAGAUGCAGAAGAUAAACCAAGAGUUCUUCUAUGAUUAUGACGUUGAUGCAGAUAACCGUGUAAGAAACGUCUUUUGGGCCAAUGCAAGUUGCAAAGGAUCGUAUGAAGAUAUUGGAGACUGCGUUACAUUUGACACGACAUAUAAAACUAACAAAUUCUGCAUGCCGCUGGGAGUCUUUGUGGGAGUGAACCAUCAUCUAUAGAGCACCAUAUUUGUUGUUGCCCUCGUGCGAGAUGAAACAAUACCGUCGUUCGAGUGGGUUUUCAAAACAUUCCUGAGGUGUAUGAACAACAAGCCGCCAAAUUGCAUGCUCACAGACCAGUGUUCUUCAAUGAAGGCAGCAUUAAAAACUAUCCUCCCAGAUACACUGCAUAAGUUGUGUCGGUGGCAUAUCAUGAAGAAGUACAAAGACCACCUCGCCUUGCUGUAUAAGGCGCACGAGAAACUCAAGGAUGACCUUAAUGCGGUGCUGAACCACCCACUAAUGCCGUCAGAAUUUGAACGAGCAUGGAAGGACCUCAUUCAGAAAUACAACUUGCAAAACGACGAAGUGAUGAAUUCGCUAUGGGAUGACAUGCACGAGUGGAUCUCGGCUUACUACAAGGAAAUUUUCUGUCCUCGGAUGACUUCCACGUAG